RNAcentral lists this ribosomal RNA (431 nucleotides) under uncultured bacterium. Its description in RNAcentral is "partial 16S ribosomal RNA". It matches the Rfam family "Bacterial small subunit ribosomal RNA", at positions 30 to 507 of the family's 1533-position model. The record is from RNAcentral.
CGAACGCUGGCGGCAGGCCUACCACAUGCAAGUCGAACGGAUCCUUCGGGAUUAGUGGCGGACGGGUGAGUAACACGUGGGAACGUGCCCUUUGGUUCGGAACAACUCAGGGAAACUUGAGCUAAUACCGGAUGUGCCCUUCGGGGGAAAGAUUUAUCGCCAUUGGAGCGGCCCGCGUCUGAUUAGCUAGUUGGUGAGGUAACGGCCCACCAAGGCGACGAUCAGUAGCUGGUCUGAGAGGAUGAUCAGCCACACUGGGACUGAGACACGGCCCAGACUCCUACGGGAGGCAGCAGUGGGGAAUCUUGCGCAAUGGGCGAAAGCCUGACGCAGCCAUGCCGCGUGAAUGAUGAAGGUCUUAGGAUUGUAAAAUUCUUUCAGCGGGGACGAUAAUGACGGUACCCGCAGAAGAAGCUCCGGCUAACUUCGUG